GAAGAGGACAGUGGAACUUCCAUGUGUAGCGGUGAAAUGCGUAGAUAUAUGGAAGAACACCAGUGGCGAAGGCGGCUGUCUGGUCUGCAACUGACGCUGAGGCUCGAAAGCAUGGGUAGCGAACAGGAUUAGAUACCCUGGUAGUCCAUGCCGUAAACGAUGAGUGCUAAGUGUUGGAGGGUUUCCGCCCUUCAGUGCUGCAGCUAACGCAUUAAGCACUCCGCCUGGGGAGUACGACCGCAAGGUUGAAACUCAAGGGAAUUGACGGGGGCCCGCACAAGCGGUGGAGCAUGUGGUUUAAUUCGAUGCUACGCGAAGAACCUUACCAGGUCUUGACAUCUUCUGCUAACCUAAGAGAUUAGGCGUUCCCUUCGGGGACGGAAUGACAGGUGGUGCAUGGUUGUCGUCAGCUCGUGUCGUGAGAUGUUGGGUUAAGUCCCGCAACGAGCGCAACCCUUAUUGUCAGUUGCCAGCAUUUAGUUGGGCACUCUGGCGAGACUGCCGGUGACAAACCGGAGGAAGGUGGGGAUGACGUCAAAUCAUCAUGCCCCUUAUGACCUGGGCUACACACGUGCUACAAUGGACGGUACAACGAGUCGCGAAACCGCGAGGUCAAGCUAAUCUCUGAAAGCCGUUCUCAGUUCGGAUUGCAGGCUGCAACUCGCCUGCAUGAAGUUGGAAUCGCUAGUAAUCGUGGAUCAGCAUGCCACGGUGAAUACGUUCCCGGGCCUUGUACACACCGCCCGUCACACCAUGAGAGUUUGUAACACCCAAAGCCGGUGAGGUAACCUUCGGGGGCCAGCCGUCUAAGGUGGGACAGAUGAUUAGGGUGAAGUCGUAACAAGGUAGCCGUAGGAGAACCUGCGGCUGGAUCACCUCCUUUCUAA
RNAcentral lists this ribosomal RNA (887 nucleotides) under uncultured bacterium. RNAcentral's name for it is "bacterial SSU rRNA". It matches the Rfam family "Bacterial small subunit ribosomal RNA", at positions 651 to 1533 of the family's 1533-position model. The record is from RNAcentral.